Zea mays is the source of this 1571-nucleotide RNA transcript. It is a transcript of the gene named probable tetraacyldisaccharide 4'-kinase, mitochondrial, with no coding region annotated. The transcript has 4 exons. Lineage: Eukaryota; Viridiplantae; Streptophyta; Magnoliopsida; Poales; Poaceae. The record is from RefSeq and is a predicted model, not a curated record.
CGGCGGCGGCAGGGAGGGAAGACCCCCCUGGCGGCGGCGGCUGAGGGAGCCCCUGGCGGCUGAGAGGAAAAAGAGACCUAACCUAGACUGAAGAUACCAUGUUAGAAUAGGAACCCAUACCCUAAUCAGGGGUUGGGAGUGGUAUUAAAUAGGGAGAGUAACUGGGCCAAGGCCCAUUACACAGGGGUAUAAUGGACAUUACACAGGGAAUAGCACAAACCCUAGACGGGUAGUCUAACAGCAUUGAUGAUAUGAUGCAACAACAUGGAGUAAGUUGUCAGGACAAUGUCAUCAACAUGAAGGAGCAAGUAAGCCUUGUUGUAAUCUCAACUAUAGAUGAACAACGAAGUGCCAUACCGAGCCUCAACAAAGCCGAUGGACUAGACAUUAUGUGGCGUAUCAAACACAGUUUGAGAGCAUAGGGGGACUUCGUGAGCCGGCAGAUGUAGUCGGGGUGAGCUAGAUCAACGAAACCUUGUGGAUGGGAGUACACCAUCUUAGACAGGGUGCCACGAAGAAAGAUAUUCUUCACAUCAAGCUUGGAGCCGGACGGCAUCUUCCGCGCGUUGCUUGGCAGCACUGCAGCAGGCCAGCAGCUUCCUGCUUGGAGGUAGAGGUGGCGGUGAGCUUCGAGUCGGAGGAAGGCAUAAUGGCUGCUGCUGCCGUAGGAGCAAAAGCAGUAUAUGUCAAAGGACCGAGAAGGCGAUAGAUACCAUGUUAGAGAAGCACUGGGUAGUUUUGAGUAGUCUGAGCGGCAAGAAAAGAGCCUAGCCCAACUACAGCUACAAGGCCCAAUAAGGUUGUACGGCUAGCUUUAACACUAUCCUUGUUCAAUUGUAACAUCCAUCCUUGCUGCUGCAGAUUGGUCCACUCAAAAUCGCCAGGUUGGAUUUCAGUGACCAUCAUUUCUUCAGUGCUCAUGACCUAGAGAAAAUUCAAGAAACAGCGAGGAAUCUCAUGGACGAGCACAGCAAAGAUACCAUAGUCUUAGUUACUGAGAAGGAUUAUGACCGUGAUCCAGAGGCCCUCAAGACACUGGACGCAAACGUUUGGGUGCUGUCUUCUUCACUGCAGAUUAUGCAUCACAGCAAACAAGGAGAAGAUGAAUUCAUGAGGAAAGUCAAUGAGAUUAUCACAGUUACCUGGUGUGCGAAGUCACAUGCAGCGGACCGGGCCACGGGUUGCUGAGGGUGUGGUUUGAUAUGGUUGUACCUGAAAGCAACCGGUAGUGAAACAUUUUUGCCUGGAGAUAUGAACAUUAGCAUGCAGGAUAGAGUUUUUCCUUGCAGCUGUGGGGUUGUUUGGGUUUAUGGAUUAAUGUUUAGUCUAUCUAUUUUAUUCCUAUUUUAGUUCAUAAAUUGCUAAACACGAAAACUAAAAUAGAGUUUUAGUUUCUGUAUUGGGCAAACUAGAGACUAAAAAUAAAUAAAAUAGAGGGACUAAAAAUUAGUCCCUAAACCCCAAACAACCCCAGUCAAACCUACAAGAUUUAGGAUGUGUUUGUUUCCCUUCUAGAUUAUAUAAGUUGGACGAUGCUGGAAAGAUAGGAGACUAAAGGCCGGUUUGGUUCA